RNAcentral lists this long non-coding RNA (1056 nucleotides) under Piliocolobus tephrosceles (Ugandan red Colobus). RNAcentral's name for it is "lncRNA (ENSPTEG00000000195.1)". The record is from RNAcentral. Lineage: Eukaryota; Metazoa; Chordata; Mammalia; Primates; Cercopithecidae.
AAAAAAAAAGAAAAAAGCGAAAAGGGCAAAAACGAAAAGGGUAAAAAGGGAAAAACACUUAUCAUAAUGAACUACUCAGAAGCACUUGUUUAUAUGCUCAUUUGUCCUUUUAAUUUAUUCUAUUUGUUAAAUUUCUCAUGCCUCUUACAAAAAACAAAUAAAAUAUUUCAUCAAACUAAAGAACAGUUAGCUUGUGAUAAUAAUAUUAAAAAUAAUAUGUUAUUAUAUUAUUUACAAUAUGAAGAAUAUAUAUAUAUAAAUCCUGAAAAGCACUUUGAAUUUAUAUUAAAGAAUAGAAAUGAUAUAAAAAUAUUGCAAAAAAAAAAAUAUGAUACAACAUUAGAUUAUUAUAAUAACAAUAUUAAUGAAUAUAUGUUAAAAGAUGUACAAACGACUGAAAAAAUUAAAGAAAAGAAAAACGAGCAGCGGAAUCGAGAUAUGGAUGUGAAAAUAGACAAUUCGGAGGAUGUCUAUACAAAAGAAGAAGUCAUAAACUUGUUUUAUGAAAAUGUUAAAAAUAAAAAAGCUAUAAAAGUAAGAAUAUUUAAAGUCAAACAAAUUAGUAACUAUUUUAAUUUACUCAAUACUAAUAGGUGUAUUUAUAAGUUAACAAAAACAAAUUAUGACAUUUUUAAAAAUCAAAAUACUUAUAGUAAAGAAAUAAUGACAAAUAGUUAUUAUAUAUAUUUAAUUAUAAUUUUUUUUUCUUUUUGUAUGUAUAUAGAAAAAUGUUUAUAUAUAAUAUUUGUUAAAUUAAGAAAAUAUGAAAUUCUGUUAACAUUAUUUGUUUUAUUUAUACCGGUCAUAUUUUUUUUAUUUUUUUGUUUUUAUUUUACUUUAACGAACGUUUUAUUAGCAAUUAUUUUUUUUCACCUUUUAUUUAUAAUUUGUUAUUACAAAAAAAAAGAUAUAAAUAUAAACUCGUUUUUUAGUAGGAAUAAUAAUAAUACUACUACUUGUCAUAGUAAUGUUGUAAAUGAAAACACAAAGAUAAUUUAUAAUUGUGUAAUUAAUACAAGGUCUUUGAAUAUGUGUCUUACAUAUUUAUGUAUAUUU